RNAcentral lists this ribosomal RNA (375 nucleotides) under uncultured organism. Its description in RNAcentral is "partial 16S ribosomal RNA". It matches the Rfam family "Bacterial small subunit ribosomal RNA", at positions 527 to 896 of the family's 1533-position model. The record is from RNAcentral.
GGAAGGUGCAAGCGUUAAUCGGAAGUUACUGGGGCGUAAAGCGCGCGUAGGCGGCUAGAUAAGUCGGGUGUGAAAGCCCUGGGGCUCAACCUGGGGAACUGCAUUCGAUACUGUCUAGCUAGAGUGUGGUAGAGGGAGGCGGAAUUCCGCAUGUAGCGGUGAAAUGCGUAGAGAUGCGGAGGAACACCAAUGGCGAAGGCAGCCUCCUGGACCAACACUGACGCUGAGGCGCGAAAGCGUGGGGAGCAAACAGGAUUAGAUACCCUGGUAGUCCACGCCGUAAACGAUGUCAACUAGCCGUUGGGAGCAUCUUGGCUCUUGGUGGCGUAGCUAACGCGAUAAGUUGACCGCCUGGGGAGUACGGUCGCAAGAUUA